AUUUAUAAAACAAAAUUGAAUUGAAAGAUUGGGGGUUUAGGGUUUAUAAUUUCGAUAUGGGAACUCGAAAUUUUGACGUGAAGAAGCUGUUAAACGACAGGAAAUUCUGGUUCGCUUCGUUCUUAAUCGCGUGGGCUGCUGCUUUACAGUUGUUGGAUAUAGGGGCAUAUGAUGUGGUUACAGAGGCAAGAUUCAUUUAAGCAGAAGUUUGGAACCCUAGAUGAUCACGAUACUGACGAUCGACAUGAUUCUACUCCAAUUUGACUAGUUUUGGAAAAGAGAAGUUAAGAAUCAGGGAAGUAAGUUGAGAUUGGAACAGGUGCGGUCCAAGGUUCCCACCAUGGUGCGGUCUCAUUCAACAAAACUGAUCCACAUGUUUGCAAGUUCCCAUUAUAAAGUUUGACCUUUUUAACUUUACACCUCAUUCUGGUGCAUAUGAAGGUAGACUUUGCCCUUGUGAGUGAUUUCUGUGACCAUGUGAAAGUUGAAAAACAUUUUUUUUUCCAUAAAACAUGAUCCUUUUGCUUAUACAUUGUACUUAGUUCUAGAUAUAAUGUUAGAGAGAGAACGUAGAUUAUGCAGUCAUGUAAUCGUCGUAAUAAUCACAUGUAACACACGUAAAGGCGUCCAUGUGAUUCUCACAGUGUUCGGUCAAUAAAUCCUAUGUCAAAAGAAAUCUAGAUCAAUAAGAAAACGAUUUCUAGCCAACGUGGAAUCAUGAAAUGAUUAUUAAAGCAAACAGAAUGCUGCAUCCUUUAGUUUCCUUUAGCUGUGAUAUGAAUCGAGAUUUUAGCGAAUAGACCACCCAAAUAGGCUCAGUUUGGUGCUGAACAAUGUGAGCUGUUUGAGCCGGUUAAGUUUUUACCUAAUGUCAACACGCCUAGGGCCUGUUAUUUACGCCACCGGCCACCUUCAUUGUUUAUUUUUGCGAAUUAUUCAAUAAGA
RNAcentral lists this long non-coding RNA (945 nucleotides) under Helianthus annuus (common sunflower). The record is from RNAcentral. Lineage: Eukaryota; Viridiplantae; Streptophyta; Magnoliopsida; Asterales; Asteraceae.